GGAGAGGUGGCCGAGCGGUUGAUGGCGGUGGUCUUGAAAACCACUUUACGCGCAAGCGUAACGGGGGUUCGAAUCCCUCCCUCUCCG
RNAcentral lists this transfer RNA (87 nucleotides) under Candidatus Margulisiibacteriota bacterium. RNAcentral's name for it is "Candidatus Margulisbacteria bacterium (hot springs metagenome) tRNA-Ser". It matches the Rfam family "tRNA". From Rfam's summary of the family: Transfer RNA (tRNA) molecules are approximately 80 nucleotides in length. Their secondary structure includes four short double-helical elements and three loops (D, anti-codon, and T loops). Further hydrogen bonds mediate the characteristic L-shaped molecular structure. tRNAs have two regions of fundamental functional importance: the anti-codon, which is responsible for specific mRNA codon recognition, and the 3' end, to which the tRNAs corresponding amino acid is attached (by aminoacyl-tRNA synthetases). tRNAs cope with the degeneracy of the genetic code in two manners: having more than one tRNA (with a specific anti-codon) for a particular amino acid; and 'wobble' base-pairing, i.e. permitting non-standard base-pairing at the 3rd anti-codon position. The record is from RNAcentral. Lineage: Bacteria; Bacillati; Candidatus Margulisiibacteriota.